UAUCACGGUGGGAAACACUGCAGUGUGCA
Molecule: non-coding RNA, 29 nt
Filed under: Rattus norvegicus (Norway rat)
Lineage: Eukaryota; Metazoa; Chordata; Mammalia; Rodentia; Muridae
Source: RNAcentral